GAUGAACGCUGGCGUCGUGCUUAACACAUGCAAGUCGAACGGUGAAGGCGGAGCUUGCUCUGCUGGAUCAUUUGCGAACGGGCGAGUAACACGUGAGCAAUCUGCCCCUGACUCUGGGAUAAGCGCUGGAAACGGCGUCUAAUACUGGAUACGAGCUGCGAAGGCAUCUUCAGCAGCUGGAAAGAAUUUCGGUCAGGGAUGAGCUCGCGGCCUAUCAGCUUGUUGGUGAGGUAAUGGCUCACCAAGGCGUCGACGGGUAGCCGGCCUGAGAGGGUGACCGGCCACACUGGGACUGAGGCACGGCCCAGACUCCUACGGGAGGCAGCAGUGGGGAAUAUUGCACAAUGGGCGAAAGCCUGAUGCAGCAACGCCGCGUGAGGGACGACGGCCUUCGGGUUGUAAACCUCUUUUAGCAGGGAAGAAGCGAAAGUGACGGUACCUGCAGAAAAAGCGCCGGCUAACUACGUG
Molecule: ribosomal RNA, 468 nt
Filed under: uncultured bacterium
Lineage: Bacteria
Description: partial 16S ribosomal RNA
Rfam family: Bacterial small subunit ribosomal RNA
Source: RNAcentral